CUCCUGCAGCAAAAUGGACUUCUCUCUGGGACUUCGACUGGGGCCUCGGAAUAAGAAGGAUACCUACCAGGAGCCCCUUCCGUCCUCUGGGCGUGGACCGCCAACUACCUCUCCCUGCUUGUCCUGUCCCCCUUCAGCCUGUGUCUGCCCCUGUUCUAGCUGCCCCCCUCCCCCAUGCUCUUUCACUGCUUGUCCCUCAGACUCCGCUACUACCUGCCCUUCCUGUCCAGGCCUCCCUGGCCCACCCUGCACGUGUUCUUGCCCUCCUUGCCCUGCAUGUCCUCCCUCAGCGUGUCUGCAUACCUACUGCGCCCUCUGCUCGAGUCCAUCUAUGACCUACUGCCGCCCCUCGCCUUGCCCCAUUUACUCCUGUUCGGUGGGCCAAGCUACCUGUCUGAGCUCCCGCUUGGGCUGCAGUAGCGGCUGCAGCUGUGGCCGUGAUGUUGCAUGGGGGCCUCGGGGCUCCACCGGCUGCUGCAGUGUCUGCUUCAGGAGACAGAGGGCUUCUCGAGGGCUCUGUCAGAUAAUCUAGGCUGAGAGGCCGUGUCCCGAAAAUGGUGGUUCAGCUGGACCUGGAGCUACUUCCUCAAACAAAGGCUCCGAAUACAGCCUGGAUGGAAUCAGGCAGACCCCUGACUAAAGAGGACAGGGGACCACUCCUCCUUGGACAUUUGCUUUUGAGUGUGAUCCUGCUGGUUCCAAAACCUGCUCCUCUGUUCCCCCUGGAAAGCCUUCCUUGCAGCCCUUUAAAGCCUCCCCAGUGCUAAGGUGUUAGAUGUGUACCACUGUGCCUAGCUGAUGCAUGGAGAACUUUACAGUCCAGGAAUCAUGAUGCCAUCACCUGAGUCCACUGACGAAGCUUAGCCUCGCUAAAUGUGACAGAGAUGAGCACCGACACCGUUUGCCUGCUGUUACGAAGCAGCCUGAAGCAUCCAGCACUGCCUAGAAAAGAUACUCGCCAAAGAAGCCAACAAACCUCUCAAUGUGGAUUAAAUCAAGCCCUCAGUGCUGUCUUGUGUGUGUGCAUGUUCAUGAGUGUGGCAUGUGCACAUCCUGUGUGUGUACAGGGGUUCAUGGAGAUCAUCCCUAGGUCUUGUUCCUCAGAUCAUGGUCCACCUUGAUUUUAUUUUUUUUCUUUUUAAAUAUAAUCUCUCACUAGGUCCUGUCUCUGCAUUCUCAGCUCUGAAAUGACACUCUUGUCACCAUACCACGUCCACAGUAUUAAUAAGGGUCUCUGAGGAUUAAACUCAUAUCCAGUUUGUGUGUCAAGCGAUUGCUUUGCUUCCUGAACUAACUCCUCUGCCCCCUAUUUAAUGAGAAAUGCAGGAGAUGGGGAAACGUAAACGACAUGAGGAAGUGAGUAGACUCCGGCAAAAUGUGGGCGAUGUUAAAGAGAAUCUGACCCAGUUACCUAAAUAAGUCAUCAGCUGUGGGGAAAAUGAGAAGGAGCUUAAAACACAGAGACAGAGCUGAGAAUAUACUUCAGUGACAGAGCCCAUAUGUAGGGGGCCUGAGGGUGUGAGGGUGUGGACGACCACAGGGAGCUUUUGGAUCUCUUUUGUUCAAGACUUGGGGAUGCCAACUAUAAAGAUGUUUCAGAAGCUGAGGACAUUUAACUCUAGACUGGGUUGUAGUUUUUGUUUAUGAGACAGGAUCUUAUUAUAUAUGAUGGUCUGGACCUUGCUGUAUAGAUCUACCUGGUCUUGAGCUCACAGUGAUCCACCUGCCUCUGCCUUUCCAGUGCUAAGAUCAAAUGUAUGUGUCACCAUU
Arvicanthis niloticus (Nile rat) is the source of this 1770-nucleotide non-coding RNA. Lineage: Eukaryota; Metazoa; Chordata; Mammalia; Rodentia; Muridae. The record is from RefSeq and is a predicted model, not a curated record.